GGACAGGUGGCCGAGUGGUUAAAGGCAGCAGACUGUAAAUCUGCCGGAGUUUCUCCUACGUAGGUUCGAACCCUACCCUGUCCA
This is a non-coding RNA of Proteobacteria bacterium ST_bin14, 84 nucleotides long. The record is from Rfam. Lineage: Bacteria; Pseudomonadati; Pseudomonadota.